UUUUUUUUUUUUAGCGAAAUGGGAGUGUGCAUUAAAGGGUUUUAAUUGAAUUUUGAACUGAAUUAAUUUCAUUUAUUUUUUCGACUCGGUUUUACAACCUGUGUUAGUGGGAGCUCUGACUAGUUAGUGGUGGUGCUGUCGUGGGGGAGGGUGAUCGCAAAGGAGUCCACUAACGAGACAUGCAAAUGGUCGAUCCAAGGCUAUAACAGAAUGAAACAAAUUGGACCUCUACAUUUUCAACCUACCGUCUCCUUUGGUGACUACUGCGGUUGGCUAGCUCUAGUGGCUUGGUGCAGCGGUGACUGGGCUCUUCGGCCUGGUGCUUUUAAAGGUUUCAGAUGGUCU
RNAcentral lists this unclassified non-coding RNA (345 nucleotides) under Hevea brasiliensis (rubber tree). The record is from RNAcentral. Lineage: Eukaryota; Viridiplantae; Streptophyta; Magnoliopsida; Malpighiales; Euphorbiaceae.